This is a long non-coding RNA of Rhinopithecus roxellana (golden snub-nosed monkey), 399 nucleotides long. RefSeq lists it as uncharacterized. Lineage: Eukaryota; Metazoa; Chordata; Mammalia; Primates; Cercopithecidae. The transcript is spliced from 3 exons. The record is from RefSeq and is a predicted model, not a curated record.
UCGAGGCCCUGCGCCUCUGUCUGCACCCGAGGCGACAGCCCAGCUUACCCCCGGCUCUUCUGAGCACAGGGAGGCCUCCCAGCAAAGCCUGAAACCCUCUAAGUUUAGCUGCAGGCUUCGAACCCCCACCGUCCCCGCCCAGCCUUGGGCUGCUGAGGUGGGGAUGAACUGGGCGAAGGACACUUGGGAGUUAGGAAGAAACAAACAAGCAGGGAAGUGACCGGGAGAUGAGAAUGAAUAUAGGAAUGUCUGUCUGCCUGUCUGUGCAUACUCUGUGAAGGAAUACACCAGCAUUACAUGCUGACCCAAGGUACGCCUUCUGCAAGAGGAAAGUUUGUGUCUCAAAAUCCAUCAAGUGAAAGAGAACAGAAAAAUUCAGAGGGCAUCAUUCACGGUAAG